RNAcentral lists this ribosomal RNA (752 nucleotides) under uncultured Actinomyces sp. RNAcentral's name for it is "bacterial SSU rRNA". It matches the Rfam family "Bacterial small subunit ribosomal RNA", at positions 28 to 776 of the family's 1533-position model. Lineage: Bacteria; Bacillati; Actinomycetota; Actinomycetes; Actinomycetales; Actinomycetaceae. The record is from RNAcentral.
GACGAACGCGGCGGGCGUGCUUAACACAUGCAAGUCGAACGCUGAAGCUCAGCUUUUGUUGGGUGGAUGAGUGGCGAACGGGUGAGUAACACGUGAGUAACCUGCCCCCUUCUUUGGGAUAACGCCCGGAAACGGGUGCUAAUACUGGAUAUUCACUGGUCUUCGCAUGGGGGUUGGUGGAAAGGGUUUUUCUGGUGGGGGAUGGGCUCGCGGCCUAUCAGCUUGUUGGUGGGGUGAUGGCCUACCAAGGCUUUGACGGGUAGCCGGCCUGAGAGGGUGACCGGUCACAUUGGGACUGAGAUACGGCCCAGACUCCUACGGGAGGCAGCAGUGGGGAAUAUUGCACAAUGGGCGCAAGCCUGAUGCAGCGACGCCGCGUGAGGGAUGGAGGCCUUCGGGUUGUGAACCUCUUUCGCUCAUGGUCAAGCCGCAACAAUGGUUGUGGUGAGGGUAGUGGGUAAAGAAGCGCCGGCUAACUACGUGCCAGCAGCCGCGGUAAUACGUAGGGCGCGAGCGUUGUCCGGAAUUAUUGGGCGUAAAGGGCUUGUAGGCGGUUGGUCGCGUCUGCCGUGAAAUCCUCUGGCUUAACUGGGGGCGUGCGGUGGGUACGGGCUGACUUGAGUGCGGUAGGGGAGACUGGAACUCCUGGUGUAGCGGUGGAAUGCGCAGAUAUCAGGAAGAACACCGGUGGCGAAGGCGGGUCUCUGGGCCGUUACUGACGCUGAGGAGCGAAAGCGUGGGGAGCGAACAGG